UGCCAGACUCCUACGGGAGGCAGCAGUGGGGAAUAUUGCACAAUGGGGGAAACCCUGAUGCAGCAACGCCGCAUGAGUGAAGAAGUAUUUCGGUAUGUAAAGCUCUAUCAGCAGGGAAGAAAAUGACGGUACCUGAGUAAGAAGCCCCGGCUAACUACGUGCCAGCAGCCGCGGUAAUACGUAGAGGGCAAGCGUUAUCCGGAUUUACUGGGUGUAAAGGGAGCGUAGACGGCGAUACAAGUCUGAAGUGAAAGCCCGGGGCUCAACCCCGGGACUGCUUUGGAAACUGUGUUGCUGGAGUGCUGGAGAGGCAAGCGGAAUUCCUAGUGUAGCGGUGAAAUGCGUAGAUAUUAGGAAGAACACCAGUGGCGAAGGCGGCUUGCUGGACAGUAACUGACGUUGAGGCUCGAAAGCGUGGGGAGCAAACAGGAUUAGAUACCCCAGUA
Molecule: ribosomal RNA, 446 nt
Filed under: uncultured bacterium
Lineage: Bacteria
Description: bacterial SSU rRNA
Rfam family: Bacterial small subunit ribosomal RNA
Source: RNAcentral